RNAcentral lists this ribosomal RNA (16053 nucleotides) under Triticum aestivum (bread wheat). RNAcentral describes it as "partial small subunit ribosomal RNA". The record is from RNAcentral. Lineage: Eukaryota; Viridiplantae; Streptophyta; Magnoliopsida; Poales; Poaceae.
AUGUCGCUCGACCGGAGCUUCUCCACCUCCGCCGCCCUCUCGCGCCUCCUCGCCCGCUGCCCCGCGCUCGGCGCCGACCCGUGCCUCCUCGCCCUCGCGUCUGCGCCCGCCGCACCUACCUGGGACGACGUCGCCGCCGCGCUCGCCGAGCCGCUCCUCCACCCACGCUACACCGUCCCCAUCAUCGGCUGCUUCCGCCCACUCGCGCCCGCACUCGUCGACCACGCCUCUGAGCUCCUCCGCACCGCAGCGCCCGCCCUCCUCGUCGACAGUGUCGCCAGCCAGGAGGAGGAGGUCGGGGAGGGGGAUGCCCGCGUCGUUGAGUUCUACCUCUCGAGGGGAAGGGGCUUGCGGCUGCACGAGCUCGCGUGCCUCGCGCUCUCCCGGGCCCUCGACCUUGCCCCCCACUUGAUUCGACGCGUAUUAAAGUAUUUCAAGUUUUCUCCACCGCCAUUCCAGAGACUUCUUCGUGAAGGUGUUCCAUCGCUUACUCAGGGAUUACAUCUGUUCCUUGAUGCCACCCAAGUAUCAUACCGGUUUCUAGAAUUGGAACCCAGGGUAUUUUGUGAACAAUGGGACUGGUCUUGCUUUUUGGACCUUGUAAAUGGUACAACUGAUUAUAGGCUAGUGGACGACUCACUUCAUAGUGUUGUAUUGGAUUUAAGAUGGUGUGCAAUACAAAUACUCGUGGUGGUUUUUAAAGCAAGUGAUAUGGGCAAUGCAAGUUUUGGUCUUGGGGCGGAUGAUGCAUUUACAUGUUUACUGAGAUGGAAGGAGUUUUGCACGGACACUUCGUUAGAGAAAGCCUCUUUGUAUCUGCAGACUGAGGAAGGCAAUUCUAACAUUGAUUUAACUUCUUUGGCUGAUACUUUGUUGGAUUGGUCAGAGGUUACAACGGGAAAGGAAUAUAACAUUGGAUGUAACAUAUGUCCGUUUGUGCUCACAGCCACUAUGCGCAAGAGUCAUGAGGUAGCUCUGAUGGCAGUUAGCCAGAGGUGGCCUGUACUUCUCUAUGGUCCUGUUGGAGCGGGGAAAACCGCACUCAUUAAUGAGUUGGCACAGAAUCGCGGGAAUCGAGUACUUUUUAUCCACAUGGACGAGCAAAUGGAUGGCCGGACAUUAGUUGGGAGUUACGUUUGCACUGAAAAACCUGGUGAAUUCAAGUGGGCUCCUGGUUCUCUCACACAGGCCAUUGUCAAAGGGUUUUGGAUUGUGUUUGAAGACAUCGACAAGGCACCCACUGAUGUGCAGUCAAUCUUACUACCCUUAUUGGAAGGUUCAAGCUCCUUCUCAAUUGGGCAUGCGGAGGCAGUUGAAGUUGCCGAUGGUUUCCGUUUAUUUGCUACUGUCACCACCUCAAAGCAUGAUUUUUCACAUGCCCUGGAAGGGAGGUUAACCUAUAGUGGCCUGUGGAGAAAAGUGAUGCUGGGAGAACCUAACCGUGAAGACAUGGUUAAUAUAGUUAAUGGAUGCUACCCAAGCUUGGAUACUAUCUCCUCUAAACUCAUAGAUACCUUUGAGAAGGUCAAUUCUCUGGUAUCUUACCAGUUUGGUGGGCUCAACUUAGCUGGAGGUUUUUCUGAUGGCAUUCUACACAGAUUCUCAUUAAGGGACCUGCUCAAAUGGUGUAAGAGAAUAGUUGGAGUUGAUCUCAACUUUGAGGGUCUGGGACUUGCAUCUAGUGGUUACCAAUUCAUCUAUUAUGAGGCUGCUGAUAUUUUUGCUGCUUCCUUAUCAUCUCCGGAUAAAAGGCAAUAUGUAGCAAGAGAAAUUGCUAGAAUAUUGGGUUUAUUUCAUCAGGCAGAAACCAUGCAUCCUACCGACAAGCCCAUUAUUCAGGCUCGGCACACCGACUUGCAAGUUGGCAGAGUUACUCUGCAAUGCAGCGACAAACCAGCAUUAAUUCAGAAGGGGCCUUUUGCUGAUAUUCGCAGCGCACUAGAUGUUCUUGAGAGGGUUGCAUGUUCAAUAAAGUUCAAUGAGCCUGUUCUUCUUGUUGGCGAAACCGGCACGGGGAAGACCACUCUCGUGCAAAAUCUUGCUUCCUGGCUCAAACAAUCUUUGACUGUAGUGAACUUAAGCCAGCAAAGUGAUAUAUCUGAUCUCCUCGGUGGAUUUAAGCCUACAGAUGCUCGGUCAAUAUGCUUUCCUCUUUAUAUGGAGUUCAAGGAUCUAUUUUGUCAAAGUUUUUCUAAAGAGGCGAAUGAAGAUCUUUUACAUUAUUUUGAUGUAUACGUAAUGGAGAAGAAUUGGGUAAAAUUAUUAAAUUCGUUGGCGAAGUGUGCUAAGAAUGCUCAUAAGCUACUUGAAGGCAAGAAGAGAAAAAGGUCUUUGGGUGAAUGGGACUCCCUUUUUUCCAGGCUAAAUGUUGCCCAUAGUCAACUUGGUUCAGCAAGUGGCAUGUCAUUUCAGUUUGCAGAGGGUGCUUUUGUUUCAGCUUUAAGAAAUGGCCAUUGGAUUUUGCUUGAUGAGGUCAACCUUGCACCUCCAGAGACUCUUCAGAGAAUUGGUGCUGUACUGGAUGGAGAGAAGGGCACGCUGUGCCUUGCUGAAAGGGGUGAUGUGGAUUAUAUUGAACGUCAUCCUCGCUUUCGUAUGUUUGCUUGCAUGAAUCCGGCAACGGAUGCUGGGAAAAGAGAGUUGCCAUAUGCUUUUAGGAGCAGAUUUACAGAAUGCUUUGUUGAUGAUCUCAUGGAUGAUGAUGAUCUCCGUCUUUUUGCCAGUAAAUAUUUGGAUGGCCUGCAUACUGCUAAAGGAGUUAUAGAUAGCAUUGUUUGUUUCUAUAAGGCGGCGAAAAAGGAAUCUGAGGAGAAGCUGCAGGAUGGAGCCAAUCAGAAGCCCCAAUUUACUCUGAGAUCUCUUUCUCGUGCAUUAGGUUAUGUAAAAAUUGCAGAGAAAUCUUUUGGCUUCAGGAAAGCUCUUUAUGAUGGCUUCUGUAUGUUCUUUCUUACAAUGCUGGAUGUCCCUAGUGCAAAAAUCAUUAAGAACAUAAUAGUAUCUCUUUUGUUGAAUGGAAGAGUGCCACCAAGCAUUUCUUUUGCUGACUACUUUGUUGAAAAGCCUAAGCAACUAAAUGAUUCCGAAUCAGAUGAAUUUUUGUCCAGCUAUGUGUUAACCAGCAGUGUUACUGAGCACAUUGUCAACCUUGCCCGAGCUGUUUACAUUAAAAGAUAUCCUGUUCUCCUGCAAGGUCCAACAUCAAGUGGCAAAACUAGCUUAGUGAGGUAUCUUGCUGCAAAAACUGGCCAUGAAUUUGUCCGCAUAAACAACCAUGAGCAUACUGAUCUUCAAGAAUAUCUUGGUACGUAUGUCCCGGACAGUCACGGGAAGCUUCAGUUUCAGGAGGGUGCUUUGGUGAAGGCUGUACGUGAGGGGCACUGGAUUGUGUUGGAUGAGCUAAAUCUUGCACCUUCUGAUGUUUUGGAAGCUUUGAAUCGGCUGUUAGAUGACAACAGGGAGCUGUUUGUUCCAGAGCUUCAAGAGACUAUUCCUGCUCAUCCUAACUUUAUGCUUUUUGCUACUCAAAAUCCACCUGUGCUCUAUGGGGGACGUAAAAUGCUGUCUAGGGCAUUCCGCAACCGUUUCAUUGAAGUGAAUGUUGAUGAAAUCCCGGAAGAUGAGCUAAUCACAAUUUUGGAGCAGCGCUGUAUAGUUGCUCGCAGUUAUGCCACAAAAAUGGUUCAAGUUAUGAAAGAUCUGCAAAUGCAUAGACAAAACAGUAGAGUGUUUGCCGGCAGACAUGGUUUCAUUACACCAAGAGAUUUAUUCCGUUGGGCCAAUCGGUACCGAACAUUCGAGGGGAAGUCAUACGAGGAUCUGGCUAAGGAUGGGUAUUUACUUCUUGCAGAGAGAUUGAGGGACGACAAUGAGAAAAUAGUUGUUCAAGAAGCAUUGGAACGUCACCUACGUGUUAAACUCAACAUCCCUGAUCUAUAUAACUUGGAAAGCAUCUACGGGGAGAGCUUAUCUUCUCAUGCUAUAAGACAAAGAGUACAAGAAAGCUUUGGACAUAUCACUUGGACGAAAAGUAUGUGGAGGUUAUUCUUCCUCAUUGAGCGUUGUUACAGGUCACGGGAACCUGUCCUCCUUGUUGGUGAAACUGGUGGGGGGAAAACAACAGUAUGCCAGGUCUUGAGUGCUGUUCUUGGAGUGAAGUUACACAUUUUGAACUGCCACCAAUAUACUGAGACAUCAGACUUCAUCGGGGGAUUUUCUCCUGUGCGUGAUAGGUCAACAAUAGCGUUGGAGUACAAGCAUCUUAUUUCAACAUUGAAGGGAAUGAAAAUUUUCAUUCAUGUUGCUGGAGAUGUGCUAUUUCCAUCUGAUAUAUCUGGAGCCAUUAGCGUCGUGAAUCGUAUGAAUGAAAUACUUGAUAGAUACAGAAAAGAAAAGGAACUGUUUCCGGAGGUGCCACCUCAAGAUAUUGAUGACAUGGAGCAAAUUAAGUUGAAAUUGAUGCAUCUUCAUCAGAAGUCGAAGGCAAUUUUUCUUUGGCAGGAUGGGCCACUUGUGCAAGCAAUGAAGAGCGGAGAUCUUUUCCUUAUUGACGAAGUUUCUUUGGCUGACGACAGUGUACUUGAACGGCUGAACAGUGUUCUGGAACCUGAAAGAAAAUUGUCACUGGCCGAGCAAGGUGGUUCUGUGCUAGAGAAGAUUGUAGCACAUCCAAAUUUCUUUAUCCUUGCAACAAUGAAUCCAGGUGGCGACUAUGGAAAAAAAGAGCUUUCUCCAGCACUAAGAAACCGAUUCACAGAAUUGUGGGUUCCAGCUGUUACAGAUGUUGAUGAACUCAAGAGCAUAGCUGUAGAGAGGUUCAGCAAAGCUGAACUCUCUUGCUUUGGAGAUUGUAUCGUUAAUUUCUUGAAGUGGUUCAACCACCUGCACACUGGAAGAAUGCUCACCAUACGCGAUCUGUUAUCCUGGAUUUCGUUUAUCAAUUUGACAGAGAUGAAACUUGGAUCACAACAAGCUUUAAUACAUGGUCUGUUCCUUGUACUACUUGAUGGGCUCACAUUGGGAAUGAAUCUUGCUAAAUCGGAGGCUACUGAGUUGAGAAGAACAUGCAUGUCCUUUAUUUUAGAAGAGCUGCAGAAGGUUGAGGGGAAACCCUUAAAUUCACGCUUGAAUGAUCUAAAGAACUAUGGCUGGGGUGAUGAUAUAACAAAAACUGAUAUUGAUUGUAAUCAUCCAGAUGAUUUUGGCAUUGCACCAUUCUAUAUCACUAAAGGUCAUUUUGCUUGUAAGCAGCAGGGAUUUUUAUUCACGGCACCCACUACCAGCAAGAAUGUUUUGAGAGUAUUGCGUGGCAUGCAACUGCCCAAACCUCUUUUGUUAGAAGGUAGUCCUGGAGUUGGUAAAACAAGCUUAAUUAUGUCAUUAGCUGGAUUUUCUGGUCACAAUGUCGUGCGAAUAAACCUAUCUGAGCAGACAGAUAUGAUGGAUCUUUUAGGUUCGGACUUACCACUUGAAGGGGAGAAUGGAAUAGAAUUUGCCUGGUCGGAUGGUAUUCUUCUUCAGGCUUUAAAGAACGGAAGUUGGGUUCUGUUGGAUGAACUCAAUCUGGCUCCCCAAUCUGUCCUAGAGGGUCUUAAUGCCAUUCUAGACCACCGUGCAGAGGUCUAUAUACCCGAGCUUGGCCAGACCUACAAAUGUCCACAGUCCUUUCGUGUCUUUGCGUGCCAGAAUCCUUCAUCACAGGGUGGUGGACGGAAAGGCCUCCCCAAGUCUUUCUUGAACCGCUUCACCAAGGUUUAUGUUGAUGAAUUAAAAGAAGACGAUUAUUUUUCCAUUUGUAAAUCAGAAUAUCCAUUACUCAGUGAUGAUCUGCUCAGAAACCUGAUUUGCUUUAACAAUAGGCUCUUCACAGAUACCAUGAUACACAGGAAAUAUGGCCAAGAGGGUUCUCCUUGGGAAUUUAAUCUACGUGAUAUUAUGAGGUCUUGUCAGAUGAUAGCAGAUUCACCAGAUACUUCAAAGAAUGACUGCUUUCUAAAUACUGUAUAUCUUCAACGAAUGCGAACUGCGGUUGACCGCAAUGAAGUUCUCAAGCUUUUUGAAGAAGUCUUUCAGAUAAAGCCCAGCAUUCAUCAGUCGAAAAUGCUUUAUGUCAAUGCGCAUUGCUUAGUUGUUGGAAAUGCGUCUAUUAGAAGAAAUAAUUCCCGGUCAUACGCAGUUCAGAUUAACCAACUAAACAUACUUCCUGGUAUUCUUCAUAGUCUUGAAGCUGCUAUCCACUGUAUCCAUCAAGGUUGGUUGUGCAUUCUUGUCGGACAACACUCAUCUGGGAAAACCUCGUUAAUCCGCUUGCUUGCUCAGCUGUCUGGCAAUACAGUGAAUGAGUUGAAUUUGUCAUCUGCAACUGAUGUGUCAGAAUUGCUGGGGUGCUUUGAACAGUAUAACUUCUUCAGACACUACAAAGAGGUCAUAUCACAAGUUGAGCGUUAUGUUAAUGAAUAUUUCAGCUUGAGUAUGGAUAUACGUUGGAAGAAGGAUUUGAUUAUGGUCAGAAAGGGUUUGUUUGAGAAAUGGUUUAAAUUUGUGGUUGCGAAAAAAUAUUCUUCAAUCGACACUUCCACAUUUAUUGAGAUGGGCAGGAAUGCAUCUUUGCCACCAUUGAGCUUGGUCAUAGACAUAGUUGAGCAGAUGAAGAGUGACCUGGAAUUGCUUGACUUGCCUAUAUCACUGACCAAAGAUGAUUUGAGUAAAACACUGAAGUCCAUCUACAGCUUGCAGCAGAAAGAAGCUCUACACCAACCAGUUAAAUUUGAAUGGGUCGCUGGAGACUUGAUCAGGGCCAUUGAACGCGGUGAAUGGGUUAUUCUGGACAAUGCGAAUUUGUGUAAUCCUACUGUACUUGAUAGAAUAAAUUCUUUGUUUGAGAAAGAAAGGUCCAUUGUAGUGAAUGAAUGUGGUCUCGUUGAUGGAAAUCCUGUAGUUCUGAAGGCUCAUCCUAACUUCAGAAUGUUUUUGACAGUUAAUGCGAAGUAUGGUGAAGUUUCAAGAGCCAUGCGAAAUAGAGGAGUGGAGAUAUUUCUGAUGGAGCAAAGUCGGUGUCUGGAAGGGUGCCCGAAUGUGCCUGAGAAUAGUGAGAGGAAGGACGUGACAAGAUUUUUAAUUUCUUGUGGUGUACCUAGAAUGGAAUUGAUAUCAUCAAUGACUGAAGCACACCUCUAUGCAAAAGCUGCUGGAUUACGUCUUGGUAUAAAUAUUACUAUUCUUGAGAUCACACGAUGGGUUCAACUGUUCCAACAACUUCUUAUUAAAGGAAAUCAGCUUAGUUGGAGCCUACAUCUAAGUUGGGAACACACUUACCUACCCUCGUUGGGUCAAGUUAGUGGAUCUGAUGUUGUUGAGGAGGGAAAAUUAAGGUUUUUGACCAAUGUUGACGGUUGUUCAGCUGGUUUGCCUUGUGAUUUUUCGUUGUCCUUGCCUGGUGGUUGGCCAAUUGAACUGAAACUAAGGGAUUUUAUUUGGUACUCGAAAGAAUCUUGUGUCCAAAGAAACUGCAUGUAUCUACAAUCAUUGGGUGCCCAGUAUGCUGCUUAUCAACUAAGCAAUUUGGAAGGUAGUUCAUCCUUAAUAGGACCUAGUAACAUCCAUCCAUAUGUUCUUCCUGCUUCAAGCUUAUAUGCACUGCAAUUUCCGACUUUGUCCGGUCAGCAUUCUGUUAAGACUCGUGUAACUGGGGGAUUUAAUUCAGAGUUAGCUGGUCAGAUGCUUUUCAUUGCCGCAAACUGGGUAAUGGAGCAAUCUACGAAAAGUGAUCUUGAUUUGUAUGGGAUAUGGUUUAAAUGGUAUAAUGGUCUGCUCCAGCCAUACUGCAGCUUCUUUGAAAACUAUGGUAAUAUUCUUAAGCAAGAAUCCGAGCAUCCUGUCUGGCAUAGCAUCCUCGAAUGUUAUGGGGAAAUAACUGCUUAUCACAAGGUUGAUGCUGCUCAUCCUAUUCCAUUGCUGUCGACGAGGUUGCUGGAUAUGGGUGGUUGUGACACCCUUAAAACUUGCCAAAAGCGGCUUCAUAAGGCUCUUAAUGGUUUGAACUUGUUGCGGCUUACAUUAUGGCAAUGGCAAUCUGAGACAGUUCUUCCUGAUUUUGGUGUUCUAAAAGCUGCUUUGUUGCCGGCAUUGAAGUCCCUCAGAUGCUUGGAGGAUGAGGUACUCAAGUUGAUUGUGAGCUCUCGGAAGCUGCUGCAGAUAUACACUCGUAUCCUGGAUUAUCACAGAUCAAUAUGGAAGAUGAUAGUCUCGUCUCAGUUUGAGGGCUUACCAGUUGUUUGGAAUCUUCUGAGGAAGGAAAUUCUGAAGCUGCAGCCAAAAUUCCCAGAAGUAGUUGGUAUCUUUCUGAUGGAAAGCGUCAAUCUGAACAACCUCCAAGAUUUCAAUUCACAAAAUAGCAAACCAACUUUGUGGAUCCAUGGUGGCCAUCCUCUUGUACCAUCAUCUGGAAGAGUCUUCUACAAAUUCCAAGAAAUUGUAGCAUUUUCUGCAGCUGUUUGGCCAUGCAAGAAUCUUUCAAAGAAACAGCUUGAUGAUAAGCAACAAAUAAUUGAUGCCAUGUUGUCAGCCAAUCAGGAUCUUAGAUGCCUUGCGUUGGAAGGUGUUUAUAUAGCUUUCCGUGCUGUAUCUAAGCCUGAGGAAGAGGAGUCGACAGUUCUGGCCCAGUUGGAUGAAAUUCAUAAGAGUCUUGUUCGAAAGGUUGAGUAUGAGAGGAAUAAUCUAGGAUUAUUGUUGAAGACUUCCAAUGCUGAAGUUAAAGUCUGUUGCUCAGUCUCAUCUGAUAUCUUGUGUAACACUUGUGGUUUCAAUGGUUGGUUAGCGAGUCUUCCUUUGCUCAAUUUGAAGAGCUUGAACUUGGACACUGCUUUACUUCAAUGCCUAUCCAAGUGGAUACAGAUAGAUUCUUCUCAAAUUCGGCAGAGUAUAGCAAACUCAGAAGCCCUGCUUACAUAUGCUAUUGACUACUCAUUGGAGUUAUCGUCAAGAUCUCCUUCGGAGUUUACCCAGCAUAAGAUCGUUUGGUGGAUUCAUCAUAACUGGGACACAGUUGAGAAUGUCGAUGCAAAAUUUGCUAGCUCGCUUCUUGAAAUAUGGUACAACUAUCACAAGUCUCUGUGGACUUAUUGCUCUGGAAGUCCAAAGGCCCUGUUCCCUCUUACACACGAUGAAACCUCUGAUCUAGCACACCUGACAAAAAUGGAUGCCAUCAAUACUAUUAUCCGCGGUGAUUUAUGUGUGAUGGAUUAUCAGAAGAACAGUUUAAUGCUUAGAAUGUCAUCUAGAAGUCUCUGGGAAGGUGUCUCGUAUGCGGGAAACUUAGUUGGUGGUCUCUAUUCUGCUGCUGAUUCCCUCUUCAAACAGAUCAUAUUUGCCCAUAAGAAGCAUUUCAAGCCAGAAGAGUACAGCCAGUUGGAGCACAUCCUGUUUCAACAAUCGGAACAUCAUCUGGAGGAUAAAUGCCUCCAUACUGCUUGUGCACUGUUAUCUUCAUCAAGUCAUGCAGUACUUGCUUCAUUCUCAGGGUCAAAUAAACUCAUAGGGUCCUUGCUUCUGGAGUUGUACUCAUCGUACUCGCGUGACUCUUUAUUGCAUCUUGGGGCUGCCUGGGUAUAUAUUGGGAUGUUGCGUUUCCAGCUAUUGUUGAGCUCAUACAAUCCAGAUCCUGCGUUCCUAUCUGCUUUUAUGCAUUCUCAGAUUCUGGAGAAGAUUUCACUCCUAGAUCUCAAGGGAAAGGUUCGUCAUGAAUGUGAAGAAUUGGCGGGCUCUAACUUAGCAGGAGAUUGUCAUGAUCAGAAGUUAAUGCAAGAGCUGAAAACUGAAGAGAAGAAUCUCCGGUCAAAGGUUGUAUUUCGACCUCGACAGUCUAAACACAAGAGUUUGAUUGCAGCAUGCUGUGAAUUUGAGGGACGGUUGUCUGACUGCAAGGAUCUGGUAAGUCAUUUAAACUGCAAUGGUGCUGGGCAAUUGGAGGUCAACAGAAUCUGCAAUUGGCAGAUAACAUCAAGAAACUUUAUUAAGAGGCUGACAGAAGAGUAUGGGGAAUAUGUGGAUUUGAUUCAGCCAGCGCAAGUUGCCGUAUACGAAAUGAAACUUGGCUUGACAAUUGCUCUAUCUGGUUCUCUUGAGAGAGAAUAUUUGAAGAAGGUGAAAGAAGAUGAUAUUGAAAAAGUUCUGGGUGCAGUUUUUACUUUUAUGCAGUUUCCCAAUGGACAUGUUGCUGGAAUGACCGUAGUGGGCGUUCCAGAUUUAACAAAUUAUUCAAUGGGUGAUCAAUUGGAAACUCAAUACAGUGAGUUCAAGGAUGUAGAUAUAUUGGAGAAGCUGUCUUGUGUGUCGAGUCAGUUAAAUGUUGGCGAAGUUGCAGAUGAAGUGAGAUCCCAUUCGCAGAUGCUAGUAACAUUUCAUCAUGUUUCUUUAGUACGGACAACAUACCGUAUCUUUCAUUCCCUUAUCAUGGAUAAGACUUCUUAUCUGUCUUUGAAGAAGAUCUUCGAUUAUUUUGAAAGCAUGUGGAUCAAUAUGAAAUCUAGCGUGAAGGCUAGGGAAAAUGAUGAUUCUCAGUAUUACAAGUUCAGGUCCCGUAUCAUCGAUAUACAGGACAUCUUUGAAGGAGAUGUGCCUUCAAUUUCAGAUAUAGACUCUGAUGGCAAUGCUGGUCCAGAUAAUGAAGAAAAAUUGGAGCUUGAGUUUUUCAAAAUUAUGGAGAGAAGUGACGAAGAUGAUGGUUCUGUUGAAGACAAAUGGGAUCUUGUUCCAGAGUCUGCUCUGAAAUGUAUUAUAUUAACACAUAACCAAUUGUUUGGAUCUCCUGAUCUUAUUGAAAAGACUGAAAGAUUCCAAAUUAGUGAUCAGCAGAAACUUAAGUCUUUUGUAGACUCGUACGAUUUUGGUGCAAGAAUAUUGAAAGGCCUGCCAGAAUUGACUUCUUCAACACUAGAUGAGAAACUCAUGCCUGAGCAUUUACUCCGUGUUUGUCUAGAAUAUCAGCGAACCUGUGCAGCCUCUCUAGGCAGCAAUAGUUAUAAUGCUUACAAGGACCCGAAUCCUCCUGUUUUAUUCAAAAUGGUUGAGCCACUAACUGCACUUCAAGAGAAAGUUAGGACCUUUUUAGACGAGUGGCCUGAUCAUCCAGGUUUACUGAAAAUAUUGGAGAUAAUUGCUUCCCUUUUGGCAAUGCCCCUGAGUGCUCCACUUUCUAAGGUCUUACUUGGAUUGCAACUUUUGGCUGGGAAAGCUCAAACAUUGCAGGAAAAUGACUCCAAGUUCUUUCUUAAAGAUCAUCUUCCACCAAUAUUCAUGCUUCUAUCUUCAUGGCAAAGGCUUGAGUUAGAAUGUUGGCCAAUCCUGCUUGAGGAGGUCCAGGGAAAGUAUGAAACUAAUGCUGCAAAACUAUGGUUUCCACUGCGAGCAUUGCUUUCAAAGUCUUGUGACAUUCCAAUGAAUGAUGAUUUGUCUAUAAUCAAGAGCAUAGAGGAGUUCGUCCAAACAUCAAAUCUUGGAGAAUUCAAGACACGAUUGCAUCUCCUCCUUGCCUUCCAUGGUGAAUUUUCUGAUGGUUCUAGUGUGGGUGUUUAUUUAAGUACUCCAGUGAAGAAAAUCCAGAACAUUCUGUACAACAUGUUUGGUUACUACAUGCAGUUCUUGUCACUUGUUCUUCGGCAAAUUGAGGUCAGUAAAGAAUCAGUUGAAAAGGAGUUGAAAGAUCAGGUUAAGCUUUAUCGAUGGGAUCAAGAUCCAUACAGUCUUGCUUCGAUUGAAAAUUUCAAGAGGACGAGGCAGAAAAUUUUUAAGCUUCUGCAACGGUUCAAUGAUAUUUUGAAGAAACCUGUCAUUACCCUACUGAAUGAAGAGGCUACAGCAAGAAAAGUUCCAUGCUGGCUUGAUCCUGAGAUAUCUGAAUCACAGUUUCCUGUUGACACGGAGAAACUUGGUGAAAGGUUUUUGUGGUACAACAAGUGGAAAAGCCAGGCUUCUCUGUCAUUGCAAACAUUAUUGCAUGCAAACGAUACUGCAGUUCCCAAAAUGAAAGAAUCUGUGUAUGCUGUUGUGCACAAUAUGGACCACCAACAAGAUGAAGCUGAACUCAACGACAGAUUGAAAUUCUUUUGGUAUGCACUUGAGAAGAUUUGUAAUGCGGCUGAUUUUGGUUCUAUACUGAAGCAUGGUAAAAAGAACCAGAAGAAAACUGCUUUGUCCAGUUUGUUCAAGACACUUGAGGAAUGUGGACUCUCAAAGCACAGGCCAAUUAGUCAUGAGUGGGGAAACGAGUUGGAUGCACCAAGCCCAUUGUUUUUGGAGCAGUCAUACAACACAACACAUUUACUCCAAGUGAUCACGCAAAAAGCGUGUGAAGAUGUUAGCACUAUUCAUUCUACCCUAUUGGGCGCAAAUAACUGGAAGCUUGCAAAUCAGCAGUACUUCAGAUGUUUGGCAACGGUGCAACAACUUAAGCAAAUUUCCUUGAAAUUUAACAAAGAUCUAGACUUGCAAGAGGUUAAUAAGGCUGCGUCCUUUAUGAACCAUCUUUUGACUACGUUGUGUGAACAAAGACAUCUUGCUUAUGAUCUAUUUGAGCAGCUGAACCAGUUUCGGCAUAUGAUCUUAUUAUUAGGUUCAGGAGGGAAGAGCCAAUCUCUAUCAUCCUGCCAAAAUGUACUGCUACUUUCCAUGUGGCAGCAAAAGCAAUUUUUUGACAAUGUGCUAGCUAUGGCCAUGGACACCAACUUGUUGCUCAAAACCUUCAAAGGUUCUCAUCAUGCCUCCUGUGACAACUUUGAAGUUGCCGCGCUGUCAACUCUUUUGGAGAAGUUUAUUACAAGAUUUUCUGAAUCCAAGGAUUUAUUAGACAAAUUCUUAGUUGGAUCCAACAAUAUCCUUGCUGGUGCCCACAAAAAUAUGCCUCUUGCUACAAUAGAGAUGGAGCAACUUGUUGCUGCAAAUUGCCAGCUUGUCGACACAUUUAGAGAGGAUAUACAGGUUUUAUGCCACCAGGAUGUUUCACUGAGAUCUGUGAAGAAAGUUCUGCUCUCUCGUUUCGAAGAGUUACUGGACAAGGGGAAGAUAGCAACAGAGAGUUUCUCUAGAGAACUUAAAGACAAGCAUGGACUAUUCUCUGAUGAACAAAAGCCUGAAGAUUCAUACACAGAAGCUUUUAAGGAAACUUUCGCACUAGCUGUCAGUGUUGUAGGACAGCUCACUGGUCUUGGGAGAUCCAUUGAUGAAACUAAAGAACCCUCGUUAGAGGGAAAUAUUACUUCCUGGAAAGAUAUUUUGCAUUCGUAUGUCAUGAAUCUUCAAAUGGACCAUGUCUGUGACGCUGGUGAAAAUCUUUCUGUUUUAGUGAGGAAAUUGUUGGACUACAAACCUGAGAUGUGUUCUAUAAUAGAGGCGGAGUUAAUGCAUCUUCGUGUUUUGCUGCGUGUGAUCCUGUCAUCAGCCGAAGGCAUACUUUCUGAACUUUUGGAAGCUCACAGAAGAACAUCUGAAAUGACUCAUGCACUCGGGGAUCUUUUUAUUUAUCUAUGUGCGGAGGGGUUUGGUUGUGUCGAAGAUGCAGCUGAAGAUGCUUCAGACGGACAGAAAGAUGCAACAGGAACUGGAACUGGCAUGGGUGAGGGGGAGGGUCAAGAGAGUGCAAGCUCUAAAAUUGAUGAUAUAUCACAACUUGAGGGCACCAAUGAAAUGGAUGCUCAGUGUAAGGCAGAUCAAACUCCUAAGGAUGAUGAUCAAGCAAUUGAAAUGGAAGGAGAUUUUGCUGCUGAAUUAGCUGAUGUUUCUGAGAAUGAAAGCAAUGACUCAGGCAGCGAGGGUGAAGACAACUUGGAUAAUCAGAUGGGUGACACUGGUGAUGCCAGUGAAAUGGUUGCCAAGAAAUCUUGGGACAAGAAUGAAGAUGAUGAUUCUAAGACGUCUGACGAGAAGUAUGAGUCGGGUUCAUUAGCCAAGGGGGCAGAUGAAAAUAAUAGGGAAUUGCGUGCUAAGGACGAAUGUCCCAUGGAGACAGAUCCCGUGGAGACAGAUGAUAACGAGCAAGGCAAGAAUAAUAAUAUGGAUGAUGAACCAAGUGCUUGUGAGGAUGCUGAUGAUGUAAUGAACAAAGCUGAUGCAUAUGAUGAUCGAACAGGGCCUGAACUCUCUGAACUGGACAAUGAUGAUGAGGAUGUCAACAUGGAUGAUACAGAACAAACCGAUGGCCUGGGUGCUGACAAUCCUGACAACGAAGAUAUGGGCCCAGAAGAGGGGCAUCAAGAAGAUGAUAGUGCAGUUGCGUCAGAAGAUAUGGAGGAAGACGAUGCCACACAUGAUGGUAACAAUGUGGUUGAUAAUGAAGGGGAACAUGAUGAAGAUGGAAAUGUUGAGCCAAACAACAUGGAGAAGCAACAGUUGGACAAAAUGGAGUCAACUACACAUCCUUCACAAGGUAUACAACCCAACCAAUUGGAAACAGACUCCAACAGAGAAUCUGAAGCAAACUUGGCCAACAGCAUGGACAUGAGCAGUGGAGUUGCUCCUUCUGUUGAUUUUUCAAGUAAUGAAGUGCCUAGUCUGGAAAUCUCUAUGCCCAACUCUGGUGAAGGUUCAAGAAAUUUGUCCAACUCCAAGCCAGAGUUGCAGCCUGAUGCUCCACCGUCACACAUCAAGCAGACAGAUCCUUUCAGGAGCAUUGGAGAUGCAUUGGAGGACUGGAAAGAACGAGCAAGAGUCUCAGAUGAUACCCAGGAUCAUCAACCCGAAACUGAACACCAUAUUGAUGAUGAGAGUGCUACUGAAUUUCGUUAUGUGCCUGAGGGUGAGCAGAGCACCUCUCAAGCAUUAGGUGACGCGACAGCUGAUCAAAUCAAUGAUGAGCUGCAAGUCAGGCAACCUAUGUUAGAAGAUGAAACCCGUGCCGAAGUUGAACAACCCGAUGAGAGGAUACCCGGGGAUGACAAGCCUGAAAUGCCCCAUCUUCAAACUUCGCAAUCACGUGCCAACAAGUCCGAAAGUGCCAACAGAUUGGAGAGAAGAGAUAUUCAGACUGAUGCAUCCAUUGAGGAUUUGGUUCAAGAUGAAAUAUUUGACACUUUUGGAGAUGUUGUUUCAUUCAAGCAGCGUUUGACAGAUGACAGGAUGGUUCAGCUGGAUGCCCUAACCAGUGACAGGGAGAUGUCUACUCAUAUGGAUCUGGACAUAAUUAAUGAAGAAACGGAAAGGGCUAUCAUGGACUGGAGAAAUCUUGAACUGGCAACCAUGAAAUUGUCCCAAGAACUGGCUGAGCAAUUGCGCCUUGUCAUGGAACCAACUCUUGCAAGUAAGCUUCAAGGAGAUUACAGAACUGGAAAGAGAAUAAACAUGAGGAAGGUCAUUCCAUAUAUUGCGAGCCAGUUUCGCAGGGACAAGAUAUGGUUGCGACGAACUAAACCCAAUAAACGAAAUUACCAGGUGGUUAUUGCUGUCGAUGACUCACGAAGCAUGUCCGAGGGCAAGUGUGGAAAAGUUGCAAUUGAAGCAUUAGUUACAGUUUGCCGGGCCAUGUCGCAGCUUGAGGUUGGACAGUUCGCAGUUGCAAGUUUCGGGAAAAGAGGGAAUGUUAAAGUCUUGCAUGAUUUUGAUCAGAUCUUCAAUGCCGAAGCUGGAGUCAAGAUGAUCUCUAGUCUGUCCUUUGAGCAAGACAACAAAAUUGAGGAUCAACCAGUUGCGGAUCUCUUGAUGCAUCUGAAUAUAAUGCUUGAUGCUGCUGUGGCAAGGUCGCGCACGCCAUCAGGACAAAAUCCACUUCAGCAACUCAUACUUGUAAUAUCUGAUGGAAAGUUCCAUGAAAAGGAAAAUUUGAGGCGAUGUAUCAGGAAUGUUCUAAACAGAAGGAGAAUGAUUGCAUAUGUACUCCUAGAUAGUCAUGAGGAAUCCAUUAUGAACUCACUGGAAGCGUGCUAUGAAGGAGACAAGCUAAUCUUGGGAAAAUAUAUGGACUCAUUUCCGUUCCCUUACUAUGUUAUGCUGAAGAACAUCGAAGCGCUUCCUCGCACACUGGCCGAUUUGCUUAGACAGUGGUUUGAGCUGAUGCAGAGCGCUAAUGAAUGA